RNAcentral lists this ribosomal RNA (397 nucleotides) under uncultured bacterium. Its description in RNAcentral is "partial 16S ribosomal RNA". It matches the Rfam family "Bacterial small subunit ribosomal RNA", at positions 523 to 918 of the family's 1533-position model. The record is from RNAcentral.
AUACGUAGGGGGCGAGCGUUGUCCGGAAUGAUUGGGCGUAAAGGGAGCGUAGGCGGCGCGGUAAGUCUGGAGUGAAAGUCCUGCUUUCAAGGUGGGAAUUGCUUUGGAUACUGCCGCGCUUGAGUGCAGGAGAGGUUAUCGGAAUUCCCGGUGUAGCGGUGAAAUGCGUAGAGAUCGGGAGGAACACCAGUGGCGAAGGCGGGUAACUGGACUGCAACUGACGCUGAGGCGCGAAAGUGUGGGGAGCAAACAGGAUUAGAUACCCUGGUAGUCCACACUGUAAACGAUGAAUGCUAGGUGUAAGAGGUAUCGACCCCUUUUGUGCCGGAGUCAACACAAUAAGCAUUCCGCCUGGGGAGUACGGCCGCAAGGUUGAAACUCAAAUGAAUUGACGGGG